ACAGGCCCAUGCACAUAACUUUUGGCACAAACAUUCACCUUGGAUUGAUGAUAAAGAAUGCUUGCAGUCUGUGUGUAAAACUUUCAAGCCUAACAGACCUGUCUGAACAGCCAAGUGAGCGGCAGCUACGUACGUCAUCCACAUCACUUUCAGACAGGAAGAGCAAGAGUGGUAAUCUUGUUGAGAAACCCCCUCAAUGAAACCUACUAUUCCGACGAGAGUAGCCGAGCACACGCGGUGCAACUUUUGACCGACAGCAGGGGAUCUCCUGCAGAGUCAAGGAAACAAAGCACCAUGGAACCAUGGAUUCUCUUCACGCUCAGACUUAUUGCUUUUUCCUUCGCUGGAUGCCAGCACCUUGGAAUUAUAUCCAUGACAUUUUGAAAGCCAGUGUGCGCACUCAGUGUGCCACGUGUGUGUCUGUGCGUGACCUUGCCUCGCACUUGGUGAAGACAUUUAAACAAGGACGAGCUAGUGAACUGCUCUGCUUUGUUUGUCUUCUCCGAACACUCGAGAUCCCGCCUGGGCUGCACACGUUGUCCCUUCAUGGAGGCACUCACUGCUGGCAACAGGCUAACACAAACAUCUGCAAGCAGUCAACACUUAGGCUCAUUUUGUUGCUGUGCUCAGGCUCACACUGGAACGUACAAUCAAGACGUCUUUAUUUGCAACUUCAAAGUUGGUUUACGUUUUGUUAAUUGUUGUUCCUUUUAUUUAUGAUAAUGAAUACAGCUUAUUGCGUUUAUCGUACCCCCAUAAAUGAGAGAUAAACGAUG
Molecule: long non-coding RNA, 776 nt
Organism: Syngnathus typhle (broad-nosed pipefish)
Lineage: Eukaryota; Metazoa; Chordata; Actinopteri; Syngnathiformes; Syngnathidae
Exons: 3
Source: RefSeq, a predicted model, not a curated record